Long non-coding RNA from Callithrix jacchus (white-tufted-ear marmoset), 3085 nucleotides. Lineage: Eukaryota; Metazoa; Chordata; Mammalia; Primates; Cebidae. The record is from Ensembl.
GAAAGAAGGAGAGAGGGAGGGGGGAGGAAGGAAAGAAAGGAAGGACGGAAGGACAGAAGGAAGGAAGGAGGGAGGGAGGGAUCAGAAAUCAUAGCCAGUGAAACCCAGGAAAACCAUCAGGCAGGAAUUAGGAUGGUGCUUUAUCCAGGUUUGCAUUCCCAACAUUUAGCACCAUACGCACCAAAAAAAUAUUGUCAGAUGAAUAGUGAACCACAGUCAAACACUGAGUAAACCUGGCAGUUGGCAUCACAGGGGAGGGUGCGUGGUCACUGGACUCUGAGUGGGUCGCUGUUUUUCAUGCCAAGUCAUGACAGUAGGAUUCAGUGUGCUGGGGGAACACAGUUUUAUGAAUCUCACUUUAAAAAAACUGCAAGUGCUAUAAAUAGAAGCCUUCAUAAUUUUGAGAUAAUAAUGGUAAAAAUGAUCAUUUUUGCUUAUUAUUUGUGAUGGUUAAUAUUGUGUCAACUUGAUUGAAUUGAAGGAUGCAACGUACUGUUCCCAGGUGUGUCUGUGAGGGUGUUGCCGAAGAAGAUGAACACUUGAGACAAUGGACUGGGAGAGGCAGAGCCACCCUCCCUCUGGGUGGGCACCCAGCUGCCAGCGCAGCUGCAAGCGCAGCUAGAAUCAGCUUCCAGCACAGCUAGAGUAAAGCAGGCAGAGGAACGCGGAAGGGUUAGACUGCCUGAGUCUCCCGACCUUCGUCUUUCCCCUGUGCCGGAUGCUUCCUGCCCUCAAACAUCGGACUCCAGGUUCUUCAGCUUUUGGACUCUUGGACUCACACCAGGGGUUUGCCAGGGGCUCUCGGGCCUUUGGCCACAGACUGAAGGCUGCGCUAUCGGCGUCCCUACUUUUGGGGAUUGGGACUUGUACUGGCUUCCUUGCUCCUCGGCUUGCAAACAGCCUACUGUGGGACCUCACCCUGUGAUCAUGUACAUCAGGGAAAGGUGCGUCCCUCCCAGUGAAGCUGGAAGGUUGAAGUCCUGACACCUCCCGCGGUCUGAGCAGCUGCGCGAUGAACUGGAUAGUGCUGGAAUGUGGGACAACGGAGGCAGACUCAGAAGUCGGAACAUUGUUUCAGGAUCACACAGAAAGAGACAUGAUUUUCAUAGGUAAGUGCUGGUUUUUUUUUUUUUUUGUCGUUGGAAAAAAGUUUCUCACUAAUAACUAUCUAAAAGGGAAAUAAUUACAGUUUCAGACAUUCCAAAAAUCCCCGUGAAGAGGGUUUUGUUUUGGUUUUGGUUCUUUGUGGUGUGCCUUACAGCUUUCCCUGAGGUGACACACUUACUGACCUACGGCUAGGGCAAGUAGGUGGAAAAAAGCAAGCUUUCCUGCCUCUGGAGAAAGGAAGGGUCAGGUGUAACACCGAAGUGACUCAGAAGUAGGGGAGCUUGUCUCAGCUCUGGCCUGCACAGUGGUUCCUCUGUUCUUUACAUAGAGAAGAAAGGAGGAGAAAGCUCAAAGCAAUGCCCUUGACUUAACCCUUCAGAGGGCAGAAGUGGCCAAUCUUUAUUUUGCUGUUUUGGUUAUUGUUCAUUUAAAUUCCAUGUGCCAAUUCCGACUGAUUAGCAGUGGCUGCUUGGAGCACUGUGUGAGGAAGAAUUCUCAGGCACGUGGUGAUCAUUCAGCUAGCGCUUGCCGAAUGUCGAAUGAAUGAAUGGCUGUCUUGGACACGGGGAAAGGAGUGGUGCUACGUGUGUCGCAGGGUUGCCUCGAGUUGACCCCAAGGAAGACAUUCUAAAGAGGAGAAGGUUAGGGAUGAGAGACAAAGAUGCAUGCUAAGGCUCAUGAGCUGUUCUCCUAACAGAUAACGCCUGACCCGGCCUUGGACGUCAGUACACAUGAGUAAACGGUGGAAGGAUGCUACGUUUAUUGGCCAUGUCCAUCUGAACUUUAAAAAUAAUGCAUGGUCUUUAACGCUGUCUCCACCCACAGGUCUAGUUCUAGCAAUUUAACCUAAGGAAACAAAUAAGGAUGUGAACAAAGCCUUAGCUACGGUGGUGUUUUACAGAAGCGUUUUGGGCAAGAGAGAAACCCAUGCAAAGGAAUUUGGUUCAAAAAGAGGUUAACGUGAGGCAGCAUUUCUCAAAGUUGGCCUGUUGACAUCUGGGGACAGGUAAUUCUGUGUUGUAGGGGCUGUCCUGCACGUCGUGGGAUGCUUAUCAAUGUCUCUGGUUUAAUCCAGUAGAUGCCAGCAGCAGCCCCUCCCUAGCUGUGACAACCCAAAAUACCUUCAGAUUUUGCCAGAUGUCUCCUGGGAGGAGUGGGAAACCCGAACCACUCCCCAAGUAAGAAUCGCUGAUGUGAGGGUAUAGAACUCAUGGCAAUUCAGAAAAAGCUGAAUAACCAGGAUUCAGAAUCUGAAGAGCUGCCACAUCUGGAGUGCAAUCAUCUCUCUUACUGCCCUUUCCCCCCGCUGACCUCGUUUGUCCUAUAGAUCUGUAGGACAUAGAUCUGCUCCGUUUUUCCUCUGAGUCUCUGCUCUUCAUAAUUGCAAUGUGUACCUAGAGGAAUAAUGACACCCCACACAUAACUUUGUAUGGCCUUUCAGCUCAAUUAUCCACCACUGACUGCUGACUUUUUUCUGCUCCUUAGUUUAAGAAAGAAGGGAGCUGAUUGGUUCUGCUCAUUGUAAAAAGUCAGGUGAGUGGGCUUAGGCAACUGGCUGCUGAAGGAUGAUCUCUAACCUGCUCUGGGGCAGGUGUCCAUCUCCUGCUAGGCCAGUUGUGAGUGGACGAAUUUAAAGAGUCCUCAAAAAUGUCAGUGAUCAUGUUGCUCGUUGCAAUAUGUUUUUCUUGCUUCUUCACCUGUCUGGCAAUUUAUGAUUAGAUUCAAGACCUUGUAACUUUACCUUGUUUAGAACACUGGGUAUAUUUCAAAAUCAUUGAUUUGUAUUUUGUCUAGUUUUUUAGUUUGGAGGAUAAACCUGGCUUCUUUUAUUUCACCUUAUCUAGAAGCAAAAUUUCACAAUGGGCUUUUUAAGAUUAAAAACUGGAAGCAACCUAGAGAAUUUCACCAAGAGAAUUGCACGUAUAGACAGCAUUGUCAGAAUGAAAUUCCAUCCACAUGAUCAGGGACCCUGUAGGUG